ACGAACGCUGGCGGCAGGCCUAACACAUGCAAGUCGAGCGCCCCGCAAGGGGAGCGGCGGACGGGUGAGUAACACGUGGGAAUUUUCCUCAAGGUACGGAACAACUCAGGGAAACUUGGGCUAAUACCGUAUGAUGCAGAGAUGCCAAAGAUUUAUCGCCUUGGGAUAAGCCCGCGUCAGAUUAGGUAGUUGGUGAGGUAACGGCUCACCAAGCCUGUGAUCUGUAGCUGGUCUGAGAGGACGAUCAGCCACAUUGGGACUGAGACACGGCCCAAACUCCUACGGGAGGCAGCAGUGGGGAAUCUUGCGCAAUGGGCGAAAGCCUGACGCAGCCAUGCCGCGUGAAUGAUGAAGGUCUUAGGAUUGUAAAGUUCUUUCGCCUGUGACGAUGAUGACGGUAACAGGAGAAGAAGCCCCGGCUAACUUCGU
This 429-nucleotide ribosomal RNA is filed under the name uncultured bacterium. Its description in RNAcentral is "bacterial SSU rRNA". It matches the Rfam family "Bacterial small subunit ribosomal RNA", at positions 29 to 506 of the family's 1533-position model. The record is from RNAcentral.